Long non-coding RNA from Prunus avium (sweet cherry), 511 nucleotides. RefSeq lists it as uncharacterized. The record is from RefSeq and is a predicted model, not a curated record. NCBI's taxonomy places the organism in Eukaryota, Viridiplantae, Streptophyta, Magnoliopsida, Rosales, Rosaceae.
ACCCCUAAAUAUUUCACAAAAUGACAACGUUUAUCCCUCUAUAAUCUCGCGACCUUCACACUCUCUGACCUUCACUCUCACAGACUGCUCUUCUCACUGUUCUUCUUCUUCCUCCCCCUGCAUCUCAAAAUUCCAUCUCAAUUAAGGAAGUUAAUUGCUAACAACAAUCAGCUACUCAUCAUAAGGAUGGGAAAGAAUGUGGGAAGUUCAUCAAAAGCUCCAGCUACAUGGAAUAACCACAAUGACACUUCAUAAUUAUAUAAGGAGGCAUGCCCAACGUGAUAGACAUUUUGAUGCUUCAAAUGAUAUCUUAAGUGAAGAGAUAGGUGAGGAUGUUGAUGUGCAACAAGAACUUCAUAGUCUUCAUGACAAUGGAACACAAGAGAUGGAAGCAUUGAGAAAUAGCAUCGCUACAAAUUUAAUGAAUGCAUCUAAUUAGCUUUUUUUUAUAUUGUAGUGAUCUAUUUGGGCAUGUUAAAAUUGAACAAUUUUUGUAUAUUUGUUAUGCUAA